GACGAACGCUGGCGGCGUGCUUAACACAUGCAAGUCGAACGGAAAGGCCCUGCUUUUGUGGGGUGCUCGAGUGGCGAACGGGUGAGUAACACGUGAGUAACCUGCCCUUGACUUUGGGAUAACUUCAGGAAACUGGUGCUAAUACCGGAUAGGAGCUCCUGCUGCAUGGUGGGGGUUGGAAAGUUUCGGCGGUUGGGGAUGGACUCGCGGCUUAUCAGCUUGUUGGUGGGGUAGUGGCUUACCAAGGAUUUGACGGGUAGCCGGCCUGGGAGGGUGACCGGCCACAUUGGGCCUGGGAUACGACCCGGACGCAUACGGGGGGCAGCAGUGGGGAAUAUUGCACAACGGGCGGAGGCCUGAUGGAGCAUCGCCGCGUGCGGGAGGACGGCAUUCGGGUUGGAAACCGAUUUCGCCUGUGACGAAGCGUGAGUGACGGUAAUGGGGAAAGAAGCACCGGCAAACUACGU
Molecule: ribosomal RNA, 467 nt
Filed under: uncultured bacterium
Lineage: Bacteria
Description: partial 16S ribosomal RNA
Rfam family: Bacterial small subunit ribosomal RNA
Source: RNAcentral